This 343-nucleotide unclassified non-coding RNA is filed under the name soil metagenome. RNAcentral's name for it is "partial contains 5.8S ribosomal RNA, internal transcribed spacer 2, and large subunit ribosomal RNA". The stretch from base 1 to 120 matches the Rfam family "5.8S ribosomal RNA", at positions 35 to 154 of the family's 154-position model. The record is from RNAcentral.
GAUGAAGAACGUAGCGAAAUGCGAUACGUAAUGUGAAUUGCAGAAUUCAGUGAAUCAUCGAGUUUUUGAACGCAUAUUGCGCCCUCUGGUAUUCCGGGGGGCAUGCCUGUUCGAGCGUCAUUAAAUAACCCUCAAGCAUAGCUUGGUGUUGGGCUUUUUUACGUCCUUGACUGGGAUGGGCCUAAAAAUUAGUGGCGAUGGCUUUUUUACUUUCAAGCGUAGUAAAUCUCGUCUUGCUAAAGAGGAAAAAGAUUUUUUUUCUGCCAAAAAUUUUAACAUUUAAAGUUGACCUCGGAUCAGGUAGGAUUACCCGCUGAACUUAAGCAUAUCAAUAAGCGGAGGA